This 68-nucleotide transfer RNA is filed under the name Ovis aries (sheep). It matches the Rfam family "tRNA". Rfam says of the family: Transfer RNA (tRNA) molecules are approximately 80 nucleotides in length. Their secondary structure includes four short double-helical elements and three loops (D, anti-codon, and T loops). Further hydrogen bonds mediate the characteristic L-shaped molecular structure. tRNAs have two regions of fundamental functional importance: the anti-codon, which is responsible for specific mRNA codon recognition, and the 3' end, to which the tRNAs corresponding amino acid is attached (by aminoacyl-tRNA synthetases). tRNAs cope with the degeneracy of the genetic code in two manners: having more than one tRNA (with a specific anti-codon) for a particular amino acid; and 'wobble' base-pairing, i.e. permitting non-standard base-pairing at the 3rd anti-codon position. The record is from Rfam by way of RNAcentral. Lineage: Eukaryota; Metazoa; Chordata; Mammalia; Artiodactyla; Bovidae.
GACUAAUGAGCUCAGAUGGUAAAGCCUCUGCCUACAAUGCAGAAGACCUGGGUUCAAUCCCUGGGUCG